Long non-coding RNA from Chiloscyllium plagiosum (whitespotted bambooshark), 2280 nucleotides. RefSeq lists it as uncharacterized. Lineage: Eukaryota; Metazoa; Chordata; Chondrichthyes; Orectolobiformes; Hemiscylliidae. The record is from RefSeq and is a predicted model, not a curated record.
UGGAGUGCAAUAACCGCUCGGACUGAGGUGUUGUGAAGUGAGAGGCAGGCACUGACGGUGUCGUGCCCCACUGAGCGGCCGGCCCCAUGCACGCUGGCGGCUCCUCUCCAGUGGAAGUGAACUUGACAGCGUAGUAGGUCCCGCCCGACCUCGAUUCCGAUUGGCGGCCUGACAGCGGCAAGCACUAUUCCAAUUGGAUGCUACCUAAUAGGUGCUUUCUGAUUUGUUGGAAGCUUCUGCCAAUAACGCAGCCAUGACGUUGCUUCCGCCCUUGCGUUAGGUUGAAGUGAAGACCUUGGCCUGGAGCAGUGUUGAGAGCUGAUUUGGGUGGCACUGAUGUCUGGGUCUUAAAGGACGAAAUGAUGCGCUUAGACAAAUUACUAACAGACCGGAAGUGUUUUGUAAUUGCAAUACUGAAAAAAGUUGCAAGUGCACCCAAUUACAAUGUUAUUGACUGCAGUGAUUGAAAGACUCUGUGAGAUCCGCGUAUAGAUCUAAUUUUGAAAUGCUGAAUAUGAAUUCGUCGAGCGAGUGACCUGAUAUAAAGCUGUAGAAUGCUGAAUAGCUAGCUGAACAUAAAUUGCAUCUUCAAAGAUUAGAAACUUUUGCCCCACUGGGAAUUUAAAGGGUUGUGAUUUUGACUGCAAGCCAGCAGAAGAUAUUUAACAUUGACAUAUUCCUGUAAAGUUGUCCACCAUCGUCUACACACAUUUGAAGUUUGCAGAUCCGAUUGAAUAUGAAUGUUAAAAAAAACACACUUGCCUGGAAAAGAUUGGAGAAAGCAUGUAAACAAUGUCAUUAACACAUGGAGUAAAAUUGCAGACUUGAGAAAGGAGCUGCCACAAAGUACCUCUUUAACCACUGUUACUCUUUUACUGCUGCCACUUCAAAUUAUUCAUGCAGCUUUACACCCCUGUGCUUUCUAUGCAUGAUCAUAACUCUGUUUUUACGCAAAUAAAAGCUGCAACAUCCAAUUGAAAUGUUACGGCAUGAAGAUCUUGAAACCUUUCAUCAAGCAAAAUGUUCCUAAUACAACCUAACUACAUGAUGCUGCUUGCCUUUUUUGACAAAAAAGGUUUGGUGCUUUUAAUACUUAUGCCUGGAGCAGAACCAUGCUACUGAACACAGUAGUGCAUAGUUGGUUUUCUACCCUGAACCUCUUGCUGCUGACACAUUGAGCCAGGAACAAAGUUUCAUAAAAUUGUCAAAUUCCAACCUGAACAUCUCAGACCUAGUUUAAGAUUCAAAACAUUGAUAUUUAUGGUUGUAGAAAGCAAGCAGGAGAGUGGAAUUAAUCUAGGUAGCCAUAGGGAAGAAACAUUGACUUUGAUUUUAGGAGCCAUUAUCCUGUCUUUGUGCUUCACCACUCUACAUAAUUAGAGUUGAGAAUGCAGAUGUUGAGAACAUUUAUUGGGGAUUAGUAAUAUAAAAUGUUUCUUGAACUGACUACUGGUGAUUUAAAGUUUCAAAUAGAUUACAGUUAUGUAAACUUUAAAUUAUUUUUGUUUUUAAUAACCAGAAUGAACUGCUUUGUAAUAUUAAGCAUUUGAGGAUGAAUAGAUUAAAUAAUUUUCUUUUUUGGAACUGCCUGGUAUCUUGUAAAUUUCUUAUUAUGGAUAGUCGGAAAUUAAUUUUCAUUUUGUAAGACUUCGUUUGAGUUAGUUUUCUAUAUAUAGAAAAUGUAAAACGUUUCAAUAAAGUUGCCAACUCGUGUUUGAACAACAAUGUUUUAGUAUUUGGUUGCUGUGUGCCAAAUAAUAAUCUGCUAAUAUGGUGUAUUGAGGCCAGCAGUUACAUGGAUAAUACACCAUUUUGAAAAAUAAAUCCACACUUCAGAGCAUGUUGAUUAUGAAAUUAUUUCUUUAAGGCUGAAUUAGAUACAGUUGAGAGAGGGCAGCCAAUUUGUUCACCAUCAGGAUUAAGAGGUAUGCAAAUCAGUAUAGAGAAAUGGUGGGUAUACUGAGUUAAGUCAUGCAGCAUGUUUUAAUUCCAAUGAUAUUACACUCACCAAACGAAAUAAAAGCGCUCAGCUCAGAUUUCUAUCAGCAUUUUUAAUGUAUUUGUAUAUUUGUUUUGCAACAGUUUCUGAAACUGGAAUAAAAUAUCAAAUUUAUGUUAUUUUCAGAGCAUCAGUUGAAUUUAAAGUUUGGAAAGGGAAGUGUUCAGGAUUUGAUGUUUUCAUAUUUAUUUAUAACAUGCUGUAAAGCAGGUUUUAGAUUACUUACAGUGUGGAAACAGGCCCUUUGGCCCAACAAGUCCACUCCGACCCUCCGAAGAGCA